ACACGUCUACAUUAGACUACCCGGGUAGUCCCAGCCGUAAACUAUGCGCGUUAGGUGUAUCGGUGACCACGAGUUACCGAGGUGCCGAAGGGAAACCGUGAAACGUGCCGCCUGGGAAGUACGGUCGCAAGGCUGAAACUUAAAGGAAUUGGCGGGGAGCACCACAACAGGUGGAGCCUGCGGUUUAAUUGGACUCAACGCCGGGAAGCUCACCGGAUAGGACAGCAGAAUGAUUGCCGGGCUGAAGACCCUGCAUGACUAGCUG
This 265-nucleotide ribosomal RNA is filed under the name uncultured archaeon. RNAcentral describes it as "partial 16S ribosomal RNA". It matches the Rfam family "Archaeal small subunit ribosomal RNA", at positions 717 to 982 of the family's 1478-position model. The record is from RNAcentral.